UUUUGUUUGGUUUCUUGUUCCUUGACACACACAUAUAUGUGUGCAUAGAUACACAGUCACAUACCCAGACUCAAACCCUCACAUGGCUCCUCAUCUCUCCGUUUUCAUCCUCCUCAUCAUCAUUUCUUCCAGACUAUCAGUAAUGUCAAUGCCACUCCCCGAAGACACCGAAGACUCAUACUUAACAUCAGCGUACAGCGUGUAUAGAUCUGAAGACGUCAUUAGGACCUGAGCCCUAGGACCGUGCCCCAGGACUACAUGACAUGAUGACUCCUUGCUGUCCCCAGUCCACCUGACUGUGCUGCUGCUCCAGUUUAAACUGUUCUGCCUUAUUAUUAUUCGACCAUGCUGGUCAUUUAUGAACAUUUGAACAUCUCGGCCAUGUUCUGUUAUAAUCUCCACCCGGCACAGCCAGAAGAGGACUGGCCACCCCACAUAGCCUGGUUCCUCUCUAGGUUUCUUCCUAGGUUUUGGCCUUUCUAGGGAGUUUUUCCUAGCCACCGUGCUUCUACACCUGCAUUGCUUGCUGUUUGGGGUUUUAGGCUGGGUUUCUGUACAGCACUUUGAGAUAUCAGCUGAUGUACGAAGGGCUAUAUAAAUAAAUUUGAUUUGAUUUGAGUUAUGGUCUCAUUGUGCCGACCUUUGUAACUACAGAUGUGAAGCUGCAAGAACAUUAUAUUUAAAUGUAUAUUAAACCAUU
Molecule: long non-coding RNA, 700 nt
Organism: Oncorhynchus keta (chum salmon)
Lineage: Eukaryota; Metazoa; Chordata; Actinopteri; Salmoniformes; Salmonidae
Exons: 3
Source: RefSeq, a predicted model, not a curated record